AGAUAGGGGAACUCCGUUACGAAGCGCCCGAUCUCGGCCGCCUAUCGAAAGGGAAUCGGGUUAAUAUUCCCGAACCAGAACAGGGAUACUGCCACGCCAGUCGACCAGCGGCAACGCAACCGAACUCGGAGACGUCGGCGAGAGUCCCGGGAAGAGUUCUCUUUUUCUUUUUAACGGGCUGUCACCCUGAAAUCGGUUUAGCCGGAGAUAGGGUUUCACGUCCGGUAAAGCCCACACUUCUUGUGGGUCCGGU
RNAcentral lists this ribosomal RNA (253 nucleotides) under unidentified aplacophoran. RNAcentral's name for it is "partial ribosomal RNA large subunit". It matches the Rfam family "Eukaryotic large subunit ribosomal RNA", at positions 1550 to 1788 of the family's 3401-position model. The record is from RNAcentral. Lineage: Eukaryota; Metazoa; Mollusca.